This 250-nucleotide ribosomal RNA is filed under the name uncultured bacterium. Its description in RNAcentral is "partial 16S ribosomal RNA". It matches the Rfam family "Bacterial small subunit ribosomal RNA", at positions 57 to 305 of the family's 1533-position model. The record is from RNAcentral.
GCAAGUCGACUGGAAUUCUCUUCGGUGAGAUGGCGAGUGGCGCACGGGUGAGUAACGCGUACAGAAUCUACCUUUUACUGGGGGAAAGUCGCUGGAAACGGCGAAUAAUCCCGCAUAAGACUACAGUACUGCAUGGUACAGGAGUAAAAGGCCUUCGGGUUGGUAGAAGAUGAUUGUGCGUCCCAUUAGCUAGAUGGUAAGGUAACGGCUUACCAUGGCGACGAUGGGUAGGGGGCGUGAGAGCGUGGAC